RNAcentral lists this unclassified non-coding RNA (336 nucleotides) under soil metagenome. RNAcentral's name for it is "partial contains 5.8S ribosomal RNA, internal transcribed spacer 2, and large subunit ribosomal RNA". The stretch from base 1 to 120 matches the Rfam family "5.8S ribosomal RNA", at positions 35 to 154 of the family's 154-position model. The record is from RNAcentral.
GAUGAAGAACGCAGCGAAAUGCGAUAAGUAAUGUGAAUUGCAGAAUUCAGUGAAUCAUCGAAUCUUUGAACGCACAUUGCGCCCGCCAGUAUUCUGGCGGGCAUGCCUGUUCGAGCGUCAUUUCAUCCAUCAAGCCCCCGGCUUGUGUUGGGGACCUGCGGCUGCCGCAGGCCCUGAAAAGCAGUGGCGGGCUCGCUGUCACACCGAGCGUAGUAGCAUACAUCUCGCUCUGGGCGUGCUGCGGGUUCCGGCCGUUAAACCACCUUCAUAACCCAAGGUUGACCUCGGAUCAGGUAGGAAGACCCGCUGAACUUAAGCAUAUCAAUAAGCGGAGGA